UGAAGCAUGGAUGAACAAUCGCAGAACGGGCUUCAGUUUUUUUGUUUGAUUACUGAUUGUUUUAAAAUCAACUAACUUAUUUUAAGCAUAAGUGUUUCAAAGUAAUGGGUAAAUUUAAAAAUAAAAAUUGGAGGCUUCACACGACUGCUCCCAAGCGGCAGGUUUUAGAAAACGCUACACCAUCGAAGUUGAAAUCAUGCACCAUUAAACCUGGCUCGGUUUGAUGUUAUGUCAAGGGCAGAGAAAGGAAGAAAUAGGAAUGUCUGUAGAUUUUGUACUUAUUAAAUUAAGAGUGCAUCAAAAUUAUUUGAAAAUAUUAAAAUACCUGUUGAAGCACUGGAAUUUCAAGCUUCUUACCAUAAUUUGAGUGAAAGUAGCAGUGCAUCUCUAACUGAAGCAGUUAAAAGUAAAGUUCCAUCAAAGAAGUGUGUCAAAAUGGGAACACAAUAUUCGACUAGAAUGUCAGCACGCAAAAUGAGAAUCAUGGAGAUGAUGAAGAGGGAUGAAAAAUUCCAGAAACAGAGAGUGUAUGGUACUUUUGCUGAUUUUGACUCCUUAAAUGAUGCUUUACCAACAUUACAAGAGCUCACAGAUCUUACAAAGCACCAUAAGACCAGAAGAGAACAAUAUGAAUCAGGUCGGCCAAAUUCUUUCAGGAGACUAGAUCAAGAAAUGGUGAAUGCUGUAGAAACAUUUCAAGCUGUGUUCAAAGAUGAAAAUUAUAAAUCUGAUCCAUUUAAUGCAAUUUCAUUGCAUGUGAAACAAAGAAUAGAAGCAGAAAGGAAAGAAAAUUGAUGUAUAUAUUUGUUACAUAAAUAAUAGUUUUGUUUA
RNA transcript from Uloborus diversus, 831 nucleotides. RefSeq lists it as uncharacterized. The transcript has 6 exons. The record is from RefSeq and is a predicted model, not a curated record. Lineage: Eukaryota; Metazoa; Arthropoda; Arachnida; Araneae; Uloboridae.